CCUGCUAUGCGACUAGCAGUAGCCUAAGAAGACAUGCGCCACUGGCAACGGUGGGGUGUGAAGCUCUUCUGACAAUGAAGCCCCCGGACGUUUCGGGCAGGCGAGUGCCGCGAGGUACCCGUCUGGUAAUCCUCAGCAGCAGGGGAUUCGGAGC
RNAcentral lists this non-coding RNA (154 nucleotides) under Paraburkholderia hospita. Lineage: Bacteria; Pseudomonadati; Pseudomonadota; Betaproteobacteria; Burkholderiales; Burkholderiaceae. RNAcentral also lists the same sequence under 1 other name. The record is from RNAcentral.